AACGAACGCUGGCGGCGUGGAUAAGACAUGCAAGUCGAACGGGAUUUCUUUGGUAGCAAUACCGAGGGAAAUUUAGUGGCGAACGGGUGCGUAACACGUGGGGAAUCUGCCGAGAAGUGGGGGAUAGCUCGUCGAAAGGCGAAUUAAUACCGCAUAUGAUCAGCCAAGACAUCUUGGCGACAUCAAAGCCGGGGCAACCUGGCGCUUCUUGAUGACCCCGCGGCCUAUCAGCUAGUUGGUGAGGUAACGGCCCACCAAGGCUUCGAUCAGUAACUGGUGUGAGAGCACGACCAGUCACACGGGCACUGAGACACGGGCCCGACUCCUACGGGAGGCAGCAGUAAGGAAUAUUGGUCAAUGGACGCAAGUCUGAACCAGCCAUGCCGCGUGGAGGAUGAAGGUCCUCUGGAUUGUAAACUUCUUUUAUCUGGGAAGAAACCCUAUUUUUUCUAAAGUGGUUGACGGUACCAGAAGAAUAAGCACCGGCUAACUCCGUGCCAGCCGCCGACC
This 510-nucleotide ribosomal RNA is filed under the name uncultured bacterium. RNAcentral's name for it is "bacterial SSU rRNA". It matches the Rfam family "Bacterial small subunit ribosomal RNA", at positions 29 to 519 of the family's 1533-position model. The record is from RNAcentral.